RNAcentral lists this ribosomal RNA (811 nucleotides) under Microbacterium sp. Its description in RNAcentral is "bacterial SSU rRNA". It matches the Rfam family "Bacterial small subunit ribosomal RNA", at positions 622 to 1430 of the family's 1533-position model. The record is from RNAcentral. Lineage: Bacteria; Bacillati; Actinomycetota; Actinomycetes; Micrococcales; Microbacteriaceae.
UGCAGUGGGUACGGGCAGACUAGAGUGCGGUAGGGGAGAUUGGAAUUCCUGGUGUAGCGGUGGAAUGCGCAGAUAUCAGGAGGAACACCGAUGGCGAAGGCAGAUCUCUGGGCCGUAACUGACGCUGAGGAGCGAAAGGGUGGGGAGCAAACAGGCUUAGAUACCCUGGUAGUCCACCCCGUAAACGUUGGGAACUAGUUGUGGGGUCCUUUCCACGGAUUCCGUGACGCAGCUAACGCAUUAAGUUCCCCGCCUGGGGAGUACGGCCGCAAGGCUAAAACUCAAAGGAAUUGACGGGGACCCGCACAAGCGGCGGAGCAUGCGGAUUAAUUCGAUGCAACGCGAAGAACCUUACCAAGGCUUGACAUACACCAGAACACCCCAGAAAUGGGGGACUCUUUGGACACUGGUGAACAGGUGGUGCAUGGUUGUCGUCAGCUCGUGUCGUGAGAUGUUGGGUUAAGUCCCGCAACGAGCGCAACCCUCGUUCUAUGUUGCCAGCACGUUAUGGUGGGAACUCAUGGGAUACUGCCGGGGUCAACUCGGAGGAAGGUGGGGAUGACGUCAAAUCAUCAUGCCCCUUAUGUCUUGGGCUUCACGCAUGCUACAAUGGCCGGUACAAAGGGCUGCAAUACCGUGAGGUGGAGCGAAUCCCAAAAAGCCGGUCCCAGUUCGGAUUGAGGUCUGCAACUCGACCUCAUGAAGUCGGAGUCGCUAGUAAUCGCAGAUCAGCAACGCUGCGGUGAAUACGUUCCCGGGUCUUGUACACACCGCCCGUCAAGUCAUGAAAGUCGGUAACACCUGAAGCCGG